This 239-nucleotide ribosomal RNA is filed under the name uncultured bacterium. RNAcentral describes it as "partial 16S ribosomal RNA". It matches the Rfam family "Bacterial small subunit ribosomal RNA", at positions 57 to 305 of the family's 1533-position model. The record is from RNAcentral.
GCAAGUCGAACGAACUCUUCGGAGUGAGUGGCGCACGGGUGAGUAACGCGUAAGUUAUCUACCCUGGCAUCUGGAAUAACUCACCGAAAGGUGUGCUAAUACCGGAUACGUUGAUUUAUCAAGAAAGGUGGCCUCUAUUUAUAAGCUACCGUGCUGGGAUGAGCUUGCGUACCAUUAGCUAGUUGGUAGGGUAAUGGCCUACCAAGGCAACGAUGGUUAGCGGGUCUGAGAGGAUGAUC